AACGCGAAGAACCUUACCAAGUCUUGACAUCCCACUGACCGGAUAGUAAUGUAUCCUUCCCUUCGGGGCAGUGGAGACAGGUGGUGCAUGGUUGUCGUCAGCUCGUGUCGUGAGAUGUUGGGUUAAGUCCCGCAACGAGCGCAACCCUUAUCUUUAGUAGCCAGCACGUAAGGUGGGCACUCUAGAGAGACUGCCAGGGAUAACCUGGAGGAAGGCAGGGAUGACGUCAAAUCAUCAUGCCCCUUAUGACUUGGGCUACACACGUGCUACAAUGGCGUAAACAAAGGGAAGCAACCCUGUGAAGGCAAGCAAAUCCCAAAAAUAACGUCUCAGUUCGGAUUGUAGUCUGCAACUCGACUACAUGAAGCUGGAAUCGCUAGUAAUCGCAGAUCAGAAUGCUGCGGUGAAUACGUUCCCGGGUCUUGUACACACCG
Molecule: ribosomal RNA, 434 nt
Filed under: uncultured bacterium
Lineage: Bacteria
Description: bacterial SSU rRNA
Rfam family: Bacterial small subunit ribosomal RNA
Source: RNAcentral